CCUACGGGGGGCAGCAGUGGGGAAUUUUCCGCAAUGGGCGAAAGCCUGACGGAGCAAUACCGCGUGAGGGAGGAAGGCUUUUGGGUUGUAAACCUCUUUUCUCAGGGAAGAAAAUUUGACGGUACCUGAGGAAUAAGCAUCGGCUAACUCCGUGCCAGCAGCCGCGGUAAUACGGAGGAUGCAAGCGUUAUUCGGAAUUAUUGGGCGUAAAGCGUCCGCAGGUGGUUUUUCAAGUCUGCUGUCAAAGACCGAAGCUUAACUUCGGGUAGGCGGUGGAAACUGAGAGACUAGAGUACGGUAGGGGUAGAGGGAAUUUCCAGUGUAGCGGUGAAAUGCGUAGAGAUUGGAAAGAACACCAGUGGCGAAGGCGCUCUACUGGACCGUAACUGACACUCAGGGACGAAAGCUAGGGUAGCGAAAGGGAUUAGAUACCCCUGUAGUCCUAGCUGUAAACGAUGGAUACUAGGCGUUGCUUGUAUCGACCCGAGCAGCGCCGUAGCUAACACGUUAAGUAUCCCGCCUGGGGAGUACGCACGCAAGUGUGAAACUCAAAGGAAUUGACGGGGGCCCGCACAAGCGGUGGGGCAUGUGGUUUAAUUCGAUGCAACGCGAAGAACCUUACCAGGGCUUGACAUCCCACGAAUUCCGCAGAGAUGUGGAAGUGCCUUCGGGAACGUGGAGACAGGUGGUGCAUGGCUGUCGUCAGCUCGUGUCGUGAGAUGUUGGGUUAAGUCCCGCAACGAGCGCAACCCUCGUGGUUAGUUGCCAUCAUUAAGUUGGGCACUCUAGCCAGACUGCCGGUGACAAACCGGAGGAAGGUGGGGAUGACGUCAAGUCAGCAUGCCCCUUACGUCCUGGGCUACACACGUGCUACAAUGCCGCGGACAAAGAGCAGCCAACUCGCGAGAGUGCGCAAAUCUCAUAAACCGCGGCUCAGUUCAGAUUGCAGGCUGCAACUCGCCUGCAUGAAGGAGGAAUCGCUAGUAAUCGCAGGUCAGCAUACUGCGGUGAAUACGUUCCCGGGCCUUGCACACACCGCCCGUC
Molecule: ribosomal RNA, 1044 nt
Filed under: uncultured cyanobacterium
Lineage: Bacteria; Bacillati; Cyanobacteriota
Description: bacterial SSU rRNA
Rfam family: Bacterial small subunit ribosomal RNA
Source: RNAcentral